Long non-coding RNA from Perognathus longimembris pacificus (Pacific pocket mouse), 713 nucleotides. RefSeq lists it as uncharacterized. The transcript is spliced from 2 exons. Lineage: Eukaryota; Metazoa; Chordata; Mammalia; Rodentia; Heteromyidae. The record is from RefSeq and is a predicted model, not a curated record.
CUUUAUUUAGGCACCUAUGCCAAUUUUCUUUUAAUUAAGCAUAGUUCAACACUCCCUGCUUAUGACCUUUGCCUCUUUCUGAAGCUGCUUCUUCUAAGUUAGCUUUUUGCUGAAGCCUAGUUUUCUAGCAAAUCCAGAUUCCAAAAUAUAAUAUAGUGGAUGGUGGGGAGUUUAUGUCUGUGUUCUUUCUUGUAUUAUUCUCCUUUCUGGUUCUAGAAAAAUAGAUAAAUAUAUUUUUUCAGGAUAGACUAGGGUAUUUCCAAUUUCAUGUUGGCUGGAUGGAUGAGUGAGUGGAUUUUUGUAUGACUAGUUUUUUGUUUUUUUCCUCUUCCCUUUUCUUGCCCCAUUCUUGGUGCCUUCUCCUGACUGGGCUGAAAUGAUUGAGGGUUGAGCAUUCAAACGCUUUUUCUGCCUUCUUCCUGGGACUCGGCAGAAGGGAUUCUUGGAUUUGCUUUCUCUGAGCCACUCACACGUGGCUUGUUUAAAUCAGUUCAGUUUCCAUCAUGUGAAGGGAGAGAUAUCACCUCACAGUUGCAGUGACUGACCACACCGGAGAGCUCGGUGGCUCCCCUUCCUGGCCCUAGGAGAGGAGAGGAUUUCCACGGAUUGGGCACCUUGUGUCGGAGACCUACACUGGCAUAGUGACUCACGGCUUAGCUUUGCUGAGAAAACCCUUAUCUCCCUGGGCAAGGAAAAGGGACGGGAGCAGGGAG